AUUGAACGCUGGCGGCAUGCUUUACACAUGCAAGUCGGACGAGUGGCGAACGGGUGAGUAACAUAUCGGAACGUACCGAGUAAUGGGGGAUAACUAAUCGAAAGAUUAGCUAAUACCGCAUAUUAUUCGAGCGGCCGAUAUCUGAUUAGCUGGUUGGUGGGGUAAAGGCCUACCAAGGCGACGAUCAGUAGCGGGUCUGAGAGGAUGAUCCGCCACCCUGGGACUGAGAAACGGCCCAGACUCCUACGGGAGGCAGCAGUGGGGAAUUUUGGACAAUGGGCGCAAGCCUGAUCCAGCCAUGCCGCGUGUCUGAAGAAGGCCUUCGGGUUGUAAAAAUCUUUUUUAUGGGAUGCAGUACCAUAAGAAUAAGGUCCGGCUAAAUACGUGCCAGCAGCCGCGGUAAUAC
RNAcentral lists this ribosomal RNA (406 nucleotides) under uncultured bacterium. RNAcentral describes it as "partial 16S ribosomal RNA". It matches the Rfam family "Bacterial small subunit ribosomal RNA", at positions 30 to 526 of the family's 1533-position model. The record is from RNAcentral.